Molecule: ribosomal RNA, 416 nt
Filed under: uncultured bacterium
Lineage: Bacteria
Description: bacterial SSU rRNA
Rfam family: Bacterial small subunit ribosomal RNA
Source: RNAcentral
UAUUGGUCAAUGGGCGAGAGCCUGAACCAGCCAAGUCGCGUGAGGGAGUACUGCCCUAUGGGUUGUAAACCUCUUUUGUCGGGGAGCAAAAGCCGGACGUGUCCGUCUGUGAGAGUACCCGAAGAAAAAGCAUCGGCUAACUCCGUGCCAGCAGCCGCGGUAAUACGGAGGAUGCGAGCGUUAUCCGGAUUUAUUGGGUUUAAAGGGUGCGCAGGCGGAUUUUUAAGUCAGCGGUCAAAUCGUGGGGCUCAACCCCAUCCAGCCGUUGAAACUGGGGAUCUAGAGUGUGCGAGAGGUAUGCGGAAUGCGUGGUGUAGCGGUGAAAUGCAUAGAUAUCACGCAGAACUCCGAUUGCGAAGGCAGCAUACCGGCGCUCAACUGACGCUGAGGCACGAAAGCGUGGGGAUCGAACAGGA